GAGGGUAGAGCUCAGUGGUAGAGCACGUGCUCAGCAUGCAUGAGGUCCUGGGUUCAAUUCGCAGCACCUCCA
RNAcentral lists this transfer RNA (72 nucleotides) under Camelus bactrianus (Bactrian camel). It matches the Rfam family "tRNA". Rfam says of the family: Transfer RNA (tRNA) molecules are approximately 80 nucleotides in length. Their secondary structure includes four short double-helical elements and three loops (D, anti-codon, and T loops). RNAcentral also lists the same sequence under 2 other names. Lineage: Eukaryota; Metazoa; Chordata; Mammalia; Artiodactyla; Camelidae. The record is from Rfam by way of RNAcentral.